RNAcentral lists this long non-coding RNA (5456 nucleotides) under Triticum aestivum (bread wheat). RNAcentral's name for it is "long non-coding RNA (TAES_LNC012204)". The record is from RNAcentral. Lineage: Eukaryota; Viridiplantae; Streptophyta; Magnoliopsida; Poales; Poaceae.
UGGAUAGUUCCCCACCACUCCCUCACAAUCUCCUCCAUUCCCCAUUCUCUCCACCAUAGCCAGCGCUCCCUGGUCAGGCCGCCCCCUCCCCUUCGUCACCACCGCCGGCGCUCCCUGGUCAGGCUGCCCUCCCCUUCGUCACCAGCGUGGCCGCUCUCUCACACCCCAUAGGUCAAAGGUUGAAUUUUUAUCCGCCGCUGAUGGUGCUGCUGGGCGAGGAGGCGCUGGAUGCGCGUGCGCCGGCGCUGGAUCCGCGUGCGCCAGCGCUGGAUCUGCUCCGUCUGGCUCCGGCGACCUUACCCCGUGGCUCCGGGACAGGAAGGCUACCCCGACGACAUACAGGUCCGCCCCCUUCUCCUCUCCUCUUGGAUUUCUUCUUCUUCCCUUCCCUGAGAUGAGAUGUACGUUCCUGCCUCACGCACGCAGCAACUGGACUCUAUGCACAGAGAGGAGGAUGAAGACACCCAGCCAUGGAUUUUUAGCAGCACUCACUCAAGGAAAAAGUGCGCCACCUCCCGCCUCCCCUCUCUAUUUGAUUCAAUUCUACAGCUGUGUAUGCAGGUUCCUCACACCUUGUUGCUCUGUUGGUGUUCGUGCUGGGCUGCAGGAGACCUCAACAAGCCAAUGGAUGCAGCCAGCCUCCAACUCACCACGCACCUGCACCAACUUGAUGUAGGGAGAGGAGGAGUGAGGCUUCUCUCACGGGAUGACGCCCAGCCAUGGGGCAGCAGCAAUCCAAGGUCAAGCCUCCCUCUACCUCUCUCUCGUUUUGAUUUCAUAGGUCUGGUUCCCUGAUUUUUCUGCUGCUCUAGAUUCACUUGCAUGCUUGACUGAAUCUAGUUGCUCUCAGGCCCUAGUGUUCAAUGAGAUAGGCAUUGCAUUGUUUACUAAUUUAAUUUGCUUGCCUGCAGCCACAUGGUCCAGAGAUAGAAUUGAGAUAUUCAGACUAAGUUUAAUGAUUUGAUGGUUAUAAUUACUGAAUUUCGCUUGGUGCUAUCACUGUCGGCCUCUAGUGCUGAAUCAGUUGUACACUGUACUGUUUACCAAUUUAAUUAGCUUGCUUACCGCCACAUGGUCCAGAGAUAGAAAUUCAGAUAUUGAGACUAAAGUUUAAUGAUGUGCUGGUCAUAAUUGGUUCAGUGACUAAAUCUGUCCCCAAACUGUCAAAAUUGUAUGUCAAAGCUAAAAAACUAUCAAAACUUUGCUUUCAAGAUGAGCCCAAAUUCAGUAAGAUGUGUGCGCAGCUUGCUUUCAAGAAUGUUAAACUACUCCAUGCUUAUUUAAACUAAUUCCUCCUACAGAUUGCUGUCAAAAUAAGCCUAAAUUCAGAGUCUUCGGAAGUCAAUUACUUUGAGCCUUUGAGUUAGGAGGUAUACCAGUCUCUUUGUAGUUUGCUCUUAAUACACUCUUCCCUUGGCCAUGAUGAGAUGUUUAAGUCUUUCCACUUAUCAGUUUUUAGUUCCACUUGAAGCGAUGCAUAUUCGAAUACAUUUUCUAGUCCUUUGAGCUGUUGAAUGAAUAAAUGAAAAAGUAUUAGCAUCACAACUGAACAAUAACAGAAAUCAUGUUAUCAAAAGAUGGUGUAGUGGGACUAAUGACUAACCAUAGCGGUGAGGUCUUUGCGGCUCAUUCCUGGGCCUAGCGAGUCGAGCACCUGGAUGCAUCGCUGCCCGGCAUUUAUAACUGCUAGGUACCAAUGGAAGUGUUCAAUGUUAACUGGAAUGUAUAUCUGAAAAUAGGGUUUUUGUUAGUUUAGGUCCCAUCUAUACAAACAUUUAUAUUGAACUAAGACUCACCAUAUCAUGUUCCAAAUAAGUUAUAGCUCUGUUUAAUACCCAUCUUGGUGCGUCAUCUCGUAUAGAACUAAAUUCCUUUAUCAUCUUAGAGAUGCAUGCACUCUCUAAGAACACACUUCCACCUGACCUCAUCUGUAGAUGCUCUUUAGCACUUAUGCAAUGUAUGUAUGCGUCUAUGAUCUGCAAUAUGAAGUUCACACCUUAGUGAGAGGAGAGAAUAGAAACUCAUGUUAAAAUAGCAUAGUCUUGUCUGAAAGCUACAUAUACUUACUUCGUCGCCAAGAAAUUCUUCGGGGAGUAAUAGAUGUUCUAAGUGUCAUCUUUUGAGAUGUGAGUCGUCGAUGCUCACUAAAUUUCUUUUAUUGUUUGGUUCAGACAUGAUAUUUUCAAUCACGGACCAAUCAUCGCCGGUGCAGACGUAAUCUAUCAUGAUGUAAGUAACAACAUUUAUUAAAAACAAAGAAAAUAAAUGUAGCAAAAGCAGGGCAUAGAAAUUAAAUGUAGCAAAAAUAGGCAUAAUCUAUCAUGAUGUAAGUAACAAAAUUUAUUAAUGAUGACCACAAAAAUAAAUUUAGCAAAAGCAGGGCAUAGAAGGAUUUGUCCGUGCCUUCUGGAGCGACCACGUAGUCUUGUGCCUUCUUAGGUUUGUUAUGCAGUCGGAUAGGCUUCCCUGUCUGCACAGGCAUUGCCAGCUUGUGUACUAUAAUUUCUGCCCUUUCCCUGCCGGACGUUUGUUCUAAUUCUUCGUCCUUAGGGGCCUCCAUUUGUUCACUUGUUUCGUUGUCGGUUAAUUCCUGGGAGCAACAUUACAAAGAAUGAUCCGUAUGCAGGAUUAAUAAAGGAUUAAUAAUAUAAUUAAGAAUUAGAACUAUCUGGGACAUAUUUGGAGAAGAUGCCUGUGUCACUUCGGAGACUUCGGAAUCAGUGUCCUGCGUGCUCUUCUCAUUCUCCACUUCAUCUAUGUUGGCUAUUCCAUUUGAUUCUGCCAGCUUGCCCCCUAUAGUUUCUGCCCCUUCGGUGCCGAAUGUUUGUGCUAAUUUGUCUUCAUGAGCUGGCUGCAUUUGUUUACUUGUUUCGUUUAAGGUUAAUUCCUGAGAGCAACAUUACAAACAAUAAUCCAUAUGCAGGAUAUAAUUAGAAUUAUAACUAUUUGGGACAUAGUUGGAAAAUAAAAGACGCCUCUGUCACCUCGAAAUCAGUGGAUUGUGUGCUUUUCUUUUUCUCCACUCCAUAUUUGUCGGCUAUUCCAGUUGAAUCUGUCAGCUUGUCCCCUAUAGUUUCUGUCCCCUUGGUGCCGAAUGUUUGUGCUAAUUCCUCGUCCUGAUCUGGCUGCAUUUCUUCACUUGUUUUGUUGAAGGUUAAUUCCUGUAUGCAACAUUACAAAGAAUAAUCCGUAUGCAGGAUAUUAUAUAAUUAUAGUUAGAAUAAUCCUGGCUAUCAUGAUGUAAAGAAUUGUAUGUAUGAUAAUCUAGUACAAAAUACAUAUUAUUCCUGUAUGCUUGUCUUAGGGUAGCACCUGAUCAAUCUGCAUAUUUUCCGUAUCAUCCAUGAUUUCUUGAUCUUGUGAUGCCUUUGUUGACUCGUGGUUCAUAUCCUCGUCCUUGGGUCCCUUUUUGGUGUUUUCCUGAAAACCCAAGCAUUUAUUAUUAGCACGCAGUUAACAUUACUCUCAUUCUUAUUUCUACAUCACACCUGGAUGCACAUAUCUGCAUAUGUUCUUAACAUAGUGGUAUGAGGACAUUCUUUCCAAUUAAAUUUCAAUAAUACAAUAUUAUCCAGUAUUUAUAAAAGAGAAGAUAUUAUUCAAGUGAGUAAAGAAUUGUAUGUAUGAUAAUCUAGUACAAAAUACAUAUUAUUUCGUCCUGCCAGAAUAAGAAUAAUAAUGACAUGUGAAAAUAAAAAGCGCCUUUGUUGCAUUGGGGUUUGUAUGCUUGUCUUAGGGUAGCACCUGAUCAAUGUGCAUAUUUUCUGUAUCAUCCAUGAUUUCUUGAUCUUGUGAUGCCUUUGUUGACUCGUGGUUCAUAUCCUCGUCCUUGGGACCCUUGUUUGUGUUUUCCUGAAAACCCAAGCAUUUAUUAUUAGCACGCAGUUAACAUUAGUCUCAUUCUUAUUUCUACAUCAAAUCUGGAUGCACAUAUCUACAUAUGUUCUUAACAUAGUGGUAUGAGGACAUUCUUUCCAAUUAACUUUCAAUAUGUAUUUGUUUGUUUUAUUAUCCAGUCAACUUUUUGAGAGUCACUUCGGUGACUAUUCUCUCAAGUAAUCAGGUGGAUGCAGUAAUAUGAAUUUCCUUAGGCACACAGAGCAUCUUGGUAAUUUUGCGGGGGCAAACAAAGCAUGUUGAUUCACUUUGUUGGAUCCCCUCUAGUGACCAUAUUGCCUUCUAGAUGUGAAAUCGUGAAUAUUGUGUAAUCACAGAGAGAUAUCAUUACCACGAUGAUGGCAGAUUGAUCCGCAGAGCUCACCAGGGAUUGUGACGCAGACAUGGAGGAAGAUGGUAGUUCACCACGGAGAGAUGUGUACGGCAGGCUGGAGAGACCUGCGGUGGAGGAGGCCGGCGCGGUGGAGGGGUGUGAGGAUGCGGCUUGGGAGAGAGGAUGGAGAGGUGGAAGAAAACCCUACGGUGCAAAACUUGUUGGUUCUUUGUGCUCCUGAUCGAGAGAUCGUUAGUUGUAGGCAAUAUGUAAGGCGGAAAUCACAGCAAGGAUUUCCAUAGCGUGAGGAGGAAAGGAAUCGUGGUCGUUAUCUCAGGGCCGACACCUUUCCUUUGAUUUAUCUCAGGCCCUUUUUUUUGCUUUUUUAUACCCGACACAUAUACAGAAUUAAUGUAAUCAUUUUUCAAUAUUUCUUGCACGCUAGUAAUAUAGCCUGGUCUGGAAAAACUUCAUACAUAAUUUCUUAUAUGAAAGAAACCAUCAUCCAUAUACCACACCUGGGUUAACUGAACUACCUCGGUGGUAUUUGCAGGGCUGACCUGCAUGAGUACUCAUUGAGGAGCAAGAGUAUCUCAGGCCCCACGCUUUCCUCGUUUAUCUCAGGCCCAAUGUUUUUUUUUGUUUUUUUAUACCCCACACAUACAGAAUUAAAGGAGUUAUUUUCGUAAUACAUUUUUAUACAGAAUUAUUGGGUUCAGCUCAUCGGAAUGUUUCAUCGAUACUUUUGUGUGCUUUCUCUUACCUUUUUUUAUAUACAUAAAGUUUACCUCUCUGUGUAGAAAAAUAAUUCUUGUAUCAUUUGUCUUGCCAGCUAGUUAACGUUUGUCUUGCCAGCUAGUUAAUGUACCCUCAGCGGCCGUGCUUGAUAGGAGGGGCCAGGGAAGUGCUUUAAGUCGUUCCAAGAAUGUGAGACAGUGUCAAGUCUGUAAGGCAAGUCAAGGCGCUCCUGUUGGUAAAGAUUGCUUUGCUUGGAACGAUCUUGUACCUAUUCUAUUGUCUGUUUUUUCGACUCGGUGUUUAGUAAUGCGUGGUUAUCCUGUUGUCAAUUUGCAGCGGCAAGAUCCUUCAGCGGUGCAGGAGAUUAAGGGUUCCAUAAUCGAUUCCGCGCCUAUUGCUGUCCCCAAUUUUCAGGUAAGCACUGAAGCGAACCUAAAGCCAUCUAAUAUUCUAUUGUCUUUCUGAAAAAAGAUAGCAUGUGAGCUCAUGUACCACAGAUUCGGGAACG